GUGAGCGCAGUCACAAGCGUACGAUCGAGCGCACGACGGGUUCGGGAGUGACCGAUCCAAAGUGCCGGUAAGAGGCGAAGG
Mycobacterium sp. ACS1612 is the source of this 81-nucleotide small RNA. It matches the Rfam family "Mycobacterium sRNA Ms_IGR-2". Lineage: Bacteria; Bacillati; Actinomycetota; Actinomycetes; Mycobacteriales; Mycobacteriaceae. The record is from Rfam.